RNAcentral lists this ribosomal RNA (496 nucleotides) under uncultured bacterium. RNAcentral's name for it is "partial 16S ribosomal RNA". It matches the Rfam family "Bacterial small subunit ribosomal RNA", at positions 28 to 507 of the family's 1533-position model. The record is from RNAcentral.
GAUGAACGCUGGCGGCGUGCCUAAUACAUGCAAGUCGAGCGAACGGACGAGAAGCUUGCUUCUCUGAUGUUAGCGGCGGACGGGUGAGUAACACGUGGAUAACCUACCUAUAAGACUGGGAUAACUUCGGGAAACCGUAGCUAAUACCGGAUAAUAUUUUGAACCGCAUGGUUCAAAAGUGAAAGACGGUCUUGCUGUCACUUAUAGAUGGAUCCGCGCUGCAUUAGCUAGUUGGUAAGGAACGGCUUACCAAGGCAACGAUGCAUAGCCGACCUGAGAGGGUGAUCGGCCACACUGGAACUGAGACACGGUCCAGACUCCUACGGGAGGCAGCAGUAGGGAAUCUUCCGCAAUGGGCGAAAGCCUGACGGAGCAACGCCGCGUGAGUGAUGAAGGUCUUCGGAUCGUAAAACUCUGUUAUUAGGGAAGAACAUAUGUGUAAGUAACUGUGCACAUCUUGACGGUACCUAAUCAGAAAGACACGGCUAACUACGUG